RNAcentral lists this long non-coding RNA (2628 nucleotides) under Homo sapiens (human). RNAcentral's name for it is "HSALNT0107104". The record is from RNAcentral. Lineage: Eukaryota; Metazoa; Chordata; Mammalia; Primates; Hominidae.
UGCCUGUAAGCUCUAUUGGGUAGUAUAGUGCAGCUUUGUGAACACCAGAUCUGGCAGAUUUAAGCUGAGGCCUGUAAGUUCAUUUGCCAUUUUCUUCCACCACAAGUGGCCCCUGCUGGGCUGAUCUGUUCUUCCACUUGUUCCUCUGGCACCUGCCCAUGUGGAGGGGAUUCUUCAAUAGGGCACAUCUGUUGUAGCCUCACAGAUUCUUCUGCUGUUGGAGAGCCCUGUGUGUGGAAGAGUCCCUUUGUGUGAAAAUCAUCCAGCCUCAACCACACAGUUCAGCAAUUUUGCUGAAAGGAACAGUCUUGGCUGCACUUGGUAGGAGCCUCUCUUCUGUCUGGCACAGGCCAAGACUCUGCAGGUGAUGAAGGAAGAGGAGGUGGCAGCGCAUAGGAGUGCAUUAAUAUCAGUUCACCUUGUCAGUAUAGCUACAGUGGCUAGACCAUGAGCUCUGGAGUUGGACAGCCUAGAUCAACAUCCUGGAUCCUCUUCCUACCUGUGUGUCCUUGGAAACAUUUCUCAAGUGUCUACAUGUUCUAGAAGGGGAAUUUUUCGGAGGUGGCCACUUCUUCGGAAUAGUCCGAUGCCAUCAGGCGUCUGAAGCAAGGGGAAGGGGAAAAGAAAAAAGCUGAAACACAAGGUUCAUCUGGGAUGAACAGGAUCACAAAAGUCCUCGGCUCUCCUCGAUGGGCAUUCUGAAGAGUCAAAAGCUGCUGAGCUAGCCACCUUCCCUCUUCCAGGUCUAUCAUUAGUGCCAGUCAUGGAAGUCAGCUUGGAUUUGGGAUGGGGAAACCAAGAAACUGAGAAUCAAAGAGGUUAAAUGACUUAAGAAAGAUUUCACCUCUAGUUAGAGGCAGAGACAAAUCUAGAAUUUUUCCUGAUUCUGAGUGCAAUGCACUUUCCUGACCUUCACUCAACCUGAGUUUGAUCUUACAGAGGAAGUCUUUGAAGACCUGCUGGGACAAUUGUUUGUUUCCCACAGAAUUCUGCGGCUAGCUCUAUUUCCUUAAUCCUGAAAUUCCAGCUCAGUACUUAUUUUCCAAACCUGUCACCAUUAACUUGAUUUUCUUCCUUUCCUCUUCCUUGCUCCCCAUCAUAUGUAAACUCUGAUUUAUAUCUGACCAGGAAACACACUCAAAAUAUAUUUCUCAAGUGUUUACCCAAUGGUGCCCCAGGCAAUACCAAUAAUGAUGAGCUAAACAAUCAUAUAUUAUUGUCUGUGAAUAUUUACUUUGUGACAGAGUCCUAAUCCUCUCCCAAAUGGUUAGCAAAUUCACUGAAAUUAUUUACUGGAAGAAUUCUAAUUUUUCAAAUAAUUCUUCUUUAUCUAAGUCCCACAAUUAUCUUCUCUUAUCCAGCUUCCCCCAAGCCCCACUUCAGACCUUACUUACUGAAUUUUUUCUAGCUCUUUAACCUCUCUGUAGUACUUCAUCCCUUAAUGCUUUUGUUCUUACUGAUUAUUUUCUCCUAAAAUAUAUCCAUCAUCCUAUUUGUUUAUACAUUUAUUAUAGAAUGCAUUUUCUAAACACUUGUGUUAGGAAUGAGGCUAGGUGCUGGUGUGGUCAUCAGCAAAGUACACAGUCCAUGAACUCAUAGCAGGUAGGAUACAGACAAAUGAAAUGGCAAUUAUAAAAGCACAUGAAAUAAGUGCAACAAUUAGAUAAGUGUAGAUACGUUGUUGGGAGAAACACCUAAGACGGCCUUUGUGGAGGGAAUCUGUUUGUGUGUGAAAUCAUGGCUUGUCCAUCAUUGUAUUGGCUGGGAUUGAUGAGCAAAUGAUAUGUAAUACACACUCAAUAAAUGUUGGUAGAACUAAUAAGAAUGAUCUGUGGUGAAAUGACUCCUGAGACAGUGACUAUGUUCUCUUUACUUCCAGGUCACUUUGCAUCGUAAACACUUAAUGUCUCUCUAGAUAGAAUUAAUCAGAGAGUGGUAGAAACUAUUAACACCUGGAUACUUCAGUUUUAUAAACUAAAAGCUUUUGAGUUAUUUUACCCAUUGAAUGAUCUUUAUUGCCUGCUCAGACUGAGUAAAUUCAAGCACCUGAAGGAUAAAUGAAAGUUUAUCCUUUAGAUAUAACAGGUUUGCAUCCUGGCUCUGCCAUUUAUGAGUAUUGACUUGAGGUUCAUUAAUUAAGCCCUCUAAGCCCUAGCUGUUAAACGGGCAUAAUCAGGAUACGUUGAAGGAAUUAAAAGUAAUAACAUGCAAAGGAACUGAAACAGUGACUGCUACACAGUAAACACUCAAUAAAUGUUAAUCCUCUUUGCAUCCUCCUCUAAACCUUUGAUAAUAUAUAUUUAGCAUAAUAUUUUGGAAUAUCUGAAAGUAAAUGAAAUUAUGCACAAGUAAUUGAAUUUCUAUUCAUAUUUUUGCAUAGUAGUUACUAUCUGGAUACUAGGCUGAAAAGAAUAAAAAAUUGGAACUCUUUAAGUAAAUGCGCUUUUCUGUCUCUUAUAUACAUCCAGUUGGCUAUUGAAACAACAUGGGAGAAAGGCAGGCAGAAGCAAGAUACCCCAUCCACUUACCUUAUUUUUUCUCUACAUGAAAUAAAUGAUUUAUAUUGAGUUUCUGGAUUUUUAAAGUUACCUUUUUUUGUUUUUUUCCUGGAGUCUCACUCUGUUGCCC